GAUGAACGCUGGCGGCGUGCCUAAUACAUGCAAGUCGAACGCAUAGCGAAAGGUGCUUGCACCUUUCAAGUGAGUGGCGAACGGGUGAGUAACACGUGGACAACCUGCCUCAAGGCUGGGGAUAACAUUUGGAAACAGAUGCUAAUACCGAAUAAAACUUAGUGUUGCAUGACGCAAAGUUAAAAGGCGCUUCGGCGUCACCUAGAGAUGGAUCCGCGGUGCAUUAGUUAGUUGGUGGGGUAAAGGCCUACCAAGACAAUGAUGCAUAGCCGAGUUGAGAGACUGAUCGGCCACAUUGGGACUGAGACACGGCCCAAACUCCUACGGGAGGCUGCAGUAGGGAAUCUUCCACAAUGGGCGAAAGCCUGAUGGAGCAACGCCGCGUGUGUGAUGAAGGCUUUCGGGUCGUAAAGCACUGUUGUAUGGGAAGAACAGCUAGAAUAGGAAAUGAUUUUAGUUUGACGGUACCAGACCAGAAAGGGACGGCUAAAUACGUG
RNAcentral lists this ribosomal RNA (497 nucleotides) under uncultured bacterium. RNAcentral's name for it is "partial 16S ribosomal RNA". It matches the Rfam family "Bacterial small subunit ribosomal RNA", at positions 28 to 507 of the family's 1533-position model. The record is from RNAcentral.